RNAcentral lists this transfer RNA (80 nucleotides) under uncultured Bacteroidota bacterium. RNAcentral's name for it is "uncultured Bacteroidetes bacterium tRNA-Ala". It matches the Rfam family "tRNA". From Rfam's summary of the family: Transfer RNA (tRNA) molecules are approximately 80 nucleotides in length. Their secondary structure includes four short double-helical elements and three loops (D, anti-codon, and T loops). The record is from RNAcentral. Lineage: Bacteria; Pseudomonadati; Bacteroidota.
GGGAUUAGCUCAGCUGGCUAGAGCGCCUGCCUUGCACGCAGGAGGUCAUCGGUUCGACUCCGAUAUUCUCCACUAGCAGU